GUAGGUGAACCUGCGGAAGGAUCAUUACCGAGUAUUGGGUCUUCGCGCCCGCACUCCAACCCUUUGUGUACCUAAAUCCGUUGCUUUGGCGGGCCCGCGGUGUAAUGCCGCUGCCGGCUCACGCUGGUUAGCGCCCGCCAGAGAGCCGUUAAACUCUUGUUUAUUUAGUGUCGUCUGAGCAAAAAUAUAAUUAUUAAAACUUUUAACAACGGAUCUCUUGGUUCUG
RNAcentral lists this unclassified non-coding RNA (226 nucleotides) under rhizosphere metagenome. RNAcentral's name for it is "partial ribosomal RNA internal transcribed spacer region". The record is from RNAcentral.